This 456-nucleotide small RNA is filed under the name Pongo abelii (Sumatran orangutan). RNAcentral describes it as "processed transcript". The record is from RNAcentral. Lineage: Eukaryota; Metazoa; Chordata; Mammalia; Primates; Hominidae.
GAGUGUCGGGGCGACUCCCGCGAGUUGGUGUGUAAAUGUGUGCAGUGAGCGGGCCGAGGCGAGAGGAAGCGAGAGCGCCCGAGUUUGCAAAGAGCUGCUUUGUGUUUGGUAUUUUGAGAAAAUGGCCGAAUGCCUAUUUCAGUUAGGAAUGCCGCCGCCGAGGCAGGCGCUGGUGGCAGCAGCACGGAGGAAUUCGUGCAGCACGUUGGGCUUUCGGGCUGUGCCUGGACGGUCUUCCUAACAAUCGUUAAAAUUCCAUUUGGGGUGGCAGUUAGGGGUUAGGGAGCAAUUAGAAAGUCGAUGUUGGGCCAAAUUACCGAGUAGCUUGGGCUGUUCAGCCCCGGGACGGCCUUCGCCCUCUGUUUUGUGUGAUGGCAUUUGCUUCCAACUUUUGUUGAAUACAGUUAUGGCCACCCAGGUAAUGGGGCAGUCUUCUGGAGGAGGAGGGCUGUUUAC